This 602-nucleotide ribosomal RNA is filed under the name Streptococcus mutans. RNAcentral's name for it is "bacterial SSU rRNA". It matches the Rfam family "Bacterial small subunit ribosomal RNA", at positions 364 to 958 of the family's 1533-position model. Lineage: Bacteria; Bacillati; Bacillota; Bacilli; Lactobacillales; Streptococcaceae. The record is from RNAcentral.
UUCGGCAAUGGACGAAAGUCUGACCGAGCAACGCCGCGUGAGUGAAGAAGGUUUUCGGAUCGUAAGGCUCUGUUGUAAGUCAAGAACGUGUGUGAGAGUGGAAAGUUCACACAGUGACGGUAGCUUACCAGAAAGGGACGGCUAACUACGUGCCAGCAGCCGCGGUAAUACGUAGGUCCCGAGCGUUGUCCGGAUUUAUUGGGCGUAAAGGGAGCGCAGGCGGUCAGGAAAGUCUGGAGUAAAAGGCUAUGGCUCAACCAUAGUGUGCUCUGGAAACUGUCUGACUUGAGUGCAGAAGGGGAGAGUGGAAUUCCAUGUGUAGCGGUGAAAUGCGUAGAUAUAUGGAGGAACACCAGUGGCGAAAGCGGCUCUCUGGUCUGUCACUGACGCUGAGGCUCGAAAGCGUGGGUAGCGAACAGGAUUAGAUACCCUGGUAGUCCACGCCGUAAACGAUGAGUGCUAGGUGUUAGGCCCUUUCCGGGGCUUAGUGCCGGAGCUAACGCCAUAAGCACUCCGCCUGGGGAGUACGACCGCAGGUUGAAACUCAAAGGAAUUGACGGGGGCCCGCACAAGCGGUGGAGCAUGUGGUUUAAUUCGAAGCA